AUAAAUUACCCAGUCUUGGGUAAUAUCCUUUUUUUUUUUUUUUUUUGAGACGGAGUCUGGCUCUGUCUCCCGGGCUGGAGUGCAGUGGCACAAUCUCAGCUCACUGCAACCUCCGCCUCACAGGUUCAUGCCAUUCUCCUGCCUCAGCCUCCCCAGCAGCUGGGACUAUAGGCGCAAGCCGCCACGCCCGGCUAAUUUUUGUAUUUUUAGUAGAGACGGGGUUUCAUCGUGUUAGCCAGGAUGGUCUCGAUCUCCUGACCUUGUGAUACACCCACCUCGGCCUCCCAAAGUGCUGGGAUUACAGGCGUGAGCCCCCGUGCCCGUCCGGGUAAUAUUCUUAAUAGCAGUGUGAGAGAACGGACUAAUACAGUAAAUUGGUACCAAGAGUUUGGGGCACUGCUAUAAAGAUACUUGAAAAUUUGGAAGUGACUUUGGGACUGGGUAACAGGCAGAUGUUGGAACAGUUUGGAGGGCUCAGAAGAAGACAGGAAGAUGUGGGAAAGUUUGAACCUUCCUAGAGACUUGUUGAAUGGUUUUGACCAAAAUGCUGAUAAUGAUGUGGACAAUGUAGUCCAGGCUGAGGUGGUCUCAAAUGGAGAUGAGGAACUUCUUGGGAACUGGAGCAAAGGGUCACUCUUGCUAUGCUUUAUCAAAGAGACUGCUGGCAUUUUGCCACUGCCCUAGAGAUCUGUGAAACUUUGAACUUGAGAGAGAUGAUUUAAGGCAUCUGGCAGAAGAAAUUUCUAAGUAGCAAAGCAUUCAAGAGGUGACCUGGUUGAUUUUGAAAGUGUUCAGUCUUAUACAUUCACAAAGAGAUAAUUCGAAAUUGGAACUUAUUUUUAAAAGGGGGUCAGGCGCAGUGGCUCAUGCCUGUAAUCCCAGCCCUUUGGGAGGCCAAUGCAGGUGGGUCACUUGAGGUCAGGGGUUGGAGACCAGCCUGGCCUACAUGGCAAAACCUUGUCUCUGUGAAAAAUACAAAAAUUAGCCAGGCAUGGUGGUGGGUGCCUGUAAUCCCAGCUACUAUACUGGAGGCUGAGGUGCAAGAAUCACUUGAACCUGGGAGGCGGAGGUUGCAGUGAGCUGAGAUCACACCACUGCACUCUAGCUUGGGUGACAGAGUGAGACUCCAUCUCAAAAAAAAAAAAAAGCGGGGCGCAACAGAGUGUAAAAAUAUGGAAAAUUUGCAGCUGACCAUGUAGUAGACAAGAAAAAACCAUUUAUGGGGAGGAAUUUAAGCCAGCUGCAGAAAUUUGCAUGAGUAACCAGAAGCCAAAUGUUAAUAGCCAGGACGAUGGGGCAAAUGUCUCCAGGGCAUGUCAGAGACCUUCAUGGCAGCCCCUCCCAUCACCGACCUGGAGGCUUAGUAGGAAAAAAUGGUUUUGUGGGCCAGGCCCCGCUGCUGCUCUGUGUUUGUAGCCUUGGGACUUCGCACCCUUCGUCCUAGCUGUGGCUGAAAGGGGCCAAGGUACAGCUUGGGCCAUGGCUUCAGAGGGUGCAAGCCCCAAGUCUUGGCAGCUUCCAUGUGGUGGUGGGCCUGCGGGUGCACAGAAAAACAAGAAGUGAGGUUUGGGAACCUCUGCCUAGAUUUCAGAGGAUACAUGGAAAUGCCCAGAUGUCCAGGCAGAAGUCUUCUGCAGGGGCAGAACUCUCACAGAGAACCUCUGCUAGUGCAGUGUGGAAGGGAAAUGUGAAGUUGGAUUUCUCAUGCAGAGUCCCCACUGGGGCACUGCCUAAUUGGAGCUAUGAGAAGAGGGCCACCAUCCUCCAAACAGGUUGCACCAUUAGCCUGGAAAAGCCGCAGAUACUCAAUGCCAGCCAUGAAAGCAGCCAGGGCGAGGGCUAUACCCUGCAAAGCCACAGGGGCAGGGCUGCCCAAGGCCAUGGGAGCCCACCUUUUUCAUCAGCAUGACCUGGAUAUGAGACAUGGAGUCACAGGAGAUCCUUUUGGAGCUUAAAGAUUUAAUGACUGCCCUGCUGGAUUUCAGACUUGCAUGGGGGCCUGUAUCCCCUUUGUUUUGGCCAAUUUCUCCCAUUUGGAAUGGGAGUAUUUAUCCAAUGCGUAUACCGCCAUAGUAUCUUGGAAGUAAUUAACUUGCUUUUGAUUUUACAGGCUACUAGACAGAAGUGGCAUGCCUUGUCUCAGAUGGGACUUUGAACUUGGACUUUUGGUUUAAUGCUGGAAUGAGUUAAGACUUUGAGGUACUGUUGGGAAGGCAUGAUUAUGUUUUGAAAUGAGAGAAAAAGACUUGGGAGGGGCCAGGGGCGGAAUGAUAUGGAAGCUUUGUGUUCCCACCCAAAUCUCAUCUUGAAUUGUAAUCCCCAUAAUCCCCAUGUGUCAAGGGAGGGACCUGGUGGGAGGUGAGUGGAUCAUAGGGGUGGUUCCCCCUGAUGCUGUUCUUGUGAUAGUGAAUGAGUUCUCACAAGAUCUGAUGGUUCUAUAAGCAUCUGGCAUUUCCCCUGCUCACCCUUCUCUCUCUUGUUGCCAUGUGAAGAAGGUCCUUGCUUUUUCUUCACCUUCCACCAUGAUUGUAAGUCUCCUGAAGCCUCGCCAGCCAUGUAGAACUGCAUAUUCUCAGUUUGGGUGUGGUGGCGUGUACCUGUGGCCCUGGCUACUCAGAAAGCUGAGGAAGGAGGAUCCCUUGAGCCUGAGAGUUUGAAGCACAAGAACCAUCAAUCAGCACAGAAGACUUCUGUGACCCCAAACUAUGUGGGGAUUUCUCCCUAGCAACAAGCAAGCAAUCAGUUUGGCAACAAACACUGACUGGAUGUCUUCCAAUUCAAUUCCAACACUAUCUACCUGGAAAUAGUGUCUGAUCCCACAGGGUAAGGGCUCAGCACCCCCAAGAUUGUCCUCUUUCCCUCUCCCAACACUGCUAGACACCAGUCACAGGUCUAGGGCCUCUGGAACUUCUGACAACUGGCUUCAAGUUGGGGUUCCCACAAUCCCUCUUGGGGUUCAAUUAAUUUGCUAUAGUGACUCACAGAACUCAGGGAAACAUGUUUACCAAUUUAUUUUAUACAAAGGAUACAGAUGAAGAGAUGCGCAGAGUGAGGUAUGGGGGAAGGGGCACAGAACUCCCAUGCCCUCCCUGGGCGAGCUGCCCUCCAGGAACUUGCAUGUGUUCAGCUAUCCAGAAGCUCUCUAAAUCCAGUCAUCCUGGCUUUUUAUAGAAGCUUCAUGACGUUAGCAUUCCUUCCCCCAGGGUAUGGGAUGGGACCCUCUCUGGAAUGGUGGUCUUAUGACCCACAAUCAGAUUACAGACCUGCCUUGGGGCAGGUGAAAGGAACACUGGAGAAAGUCAGAGAGGCCUAACAUACCAACAUUGUAACAAAAGACUGUAACAAGGACUCUGGGAGUUAUGAGCCAGGAAUCAUAGAUGGAAACCUAAACAUAUGUGUGUAUUUACAUCUAUUACCACAUCAAGGAAAGGUUUCACACACUGGUAUGAAACUGGAAAUAAGUAACAGGAGAAAACUUGGAAAAUUUGCAAGUAUGUGGAAUUAACACUCCUGAACAACCAAUGGGUCAAAGAAGAAAUCAGAAAUAUCUUAAGACAAAUGAAAAUGGAAACACAACAUACCGAAAUUUAUGGGAUGUGGCUAGGUGCAGUGGCUCAUGCCUGUAAUCUCAGCAUUUUGGGAGGCCAAGGCUGGCACAUCACUCGAGGUCAGGAGUUCAAGACUAGCCUGGCCAACGUGGUGAAACCCCCAUCUCUACUAAAAAUACAAAAAUUAGCCGGGCAUGAUGGCAGGCACCUGUAGUCCCAGCUACUUGGGAGGCUGAGGUGGGAGAAUUGCUUGAACCUGGGAGGCGGAGGUUGCAGUGAGCCAAGAUCAAACCACUGCACUCCAGCCUGGGCAACAGAGUGAGAUCUAUCACACACACUCACACACACACACACACACACACACACACACACAAAUGAGAUGCAGCAAAAGGAGUUCAAGAGGGAAAGUGACAGCGAUAAAUACCUAAUUAAGAAAAAGAAAGAUCUCAACUUUCCAUCUGAAGGAACUAGAUAAACAAGAACAAACUAAGUUUGCAGAGGUAAGGAAAUAAUACAGAUUAGAGCACAAGUGAAAUAGAGACUAGAAAAAAGAAAAGAUCAGUGAACUAAAUUUUUUUUUGAAAAACGAAAAUUGACAAAGCAUUAUCUAGGCUAAGAAAGACAGGAGACUCAAAUAACUAUAAAUGAAAGAGGAGACAUUACAAUGGGUACCACAGAAACACAAAGGAUCUUAAGAGACUACUAUGAACAAUUACAUGCCAGCAAAUUGGAUAACCUAGAAGAAAUGGUUAAGUUCUUAGACACAUACAACCUAGGAAGACUGAACCAUGAAAAAUAGAAAAUCUGAAUAGACCAAUAAUGAGUAAGCAGUUUGAAUCACUAAUCAAAAAUAUUCAAACAAGGAAUAUUCUCUAAAUGUUUGGUAGCAUUCACCAGUGCAACCAUGUGGUCCUGGGCUUUUCUUUGAUGAGAGACUUUUUACUACUGAUUCAGUCUCCUACCUGUUAUUGGU
This is a long non-coding RNA of Gorilla gorilla gorilla (western lowland gorilla), 4521 nucleotides long. RefSeq lists it as uncharacterized. The transcript is spliced from 3 exons. Lineage: Eukaryota; Metazoa; Chordata; Mammalia; Primates; Hominidae. The record is from RefSeq and is a predicted model, not a curated record.